CUGUCUGUAAUUAGCAAGGUAGCAAUUUGUAUUAUUGUAGCUUGUGGUAUGGGUGAGUGAUAGAUGAGUGAUAAGCUGACUGGGUGAAUAUAGUGUGGAACUGGGCUAUUGAGUGGAUGAUUUGUCAUUAAUCGCUGAGAGAGAAUCAUUGAACAUUCAGUUUGGGAAAGACUUGGUAGAAGUGUAAGAGACUUUGUGGAAGUUCGGGUUAUUGUUUAACCCAGCUUGUGUGGUAUCUGUUGAGACCAACAACGGGAUGAGCAGCGAGGGGCAAUGUUAGAGUUUGACCAGGUGAUUGGGCUGCGGAAUUAUGUGAAGAAGGGACGAGGAAACUGACGUUGAUGUUAAUUCAUGGAAGUUGGGUACAGCUGAAGUGGAAAUUGAAGUUCCACAUGUGGGCUACUUAUUAGCCAUGAUGUUGUGGUGGUGAAUAACAAGUGUAUUGUUAUCGUGCAGCAUCUCGGUGAAUAACAAGUGUAUUGUUAUUGUGCAGCAGAAACAUAUUGUGUAAAUAUGGCUGUAGUAUUUAGAGCUGAUUUGAAAUGGAGGGUGCUAACUAAUGUUAGUACAUAAUUUAGUUAGAACAAAAUAUGUAUAUAAAAGUUGAUCACGAGGAAGUGAAUCAUAAGGAUUGUGGUAUGAACUGAAACAUUUUAUAUUGAACUGUGUGGUUUUAGUAUAUUAUUUUGUGUGUUGUGAUACGUGAUAUUUUUAUAUGAAAUUAUGUGUAAAGUGGUGAUAAUGUAUGUUUAUUAUAUAUGAGAAGUGUGAGUGUUGAGGGAGUGCUGGUGAUUAGUGGUAUGUGAGAGGGAUAUAAUUAGGGUUAGUAAGUAGGAGUGGAGAAUGAAUGUGAUUGUUAUUUGUGUGCUGUAAAUAAAUGUAAUAUAAUUUA
Molecule: long non-coding RNA, 892 nt
Filed under: Gigantopelta aegis
Lineage: Eukaryota; Metazoa; Mollusca; Gastropoda; Neomphalida; Peltospiridae
Description: uncharacterized LOC121372469
Source: RNAcentral